Salmo salar (Atlantic salmon) is the source of this 68-nucleotide non-coding RNA. The record is from Rfam. Lineage: Eukaryota; Metazoa; Chordata; Actinopteri; Salmoniformes; Salmonidae.
ACAGCAACCCUAACAAAAGCAUUGACUGGUUUUGUCUGCAGUAAGUGCUUUUUGUUGAGGUAGCUGUU